GGCGUGGUGCCAGAGUGGUUAAUGGGUAUGACUCGAAUGGCAUAACUGCCUAUAGAUAUCAUAUGGUUUCGGCCGCGUAGGUUCAAAUCCUGCCCACGUCG
Molecule: transfer RNA, 101 nt
Organism: Pseudogymnoascus pannorum
Lineage: Eukaryota; Fungi; Ascomycota; Leotiomycetes; Thelebolales; Thelebolaceae
Rfam family: tRNA
About the family: Transfer RNA (tRNA) molecules are approximately 80 nucleotides in length. Their secondary structure includes four short double-helical elements and three loops (D, anti-codon, and T loops). Further hydrogen bonds mediate the characteristic L-shaped molecular structure. tRNAs have two regions of fundamental functional importance: the anti-codon, which is responsible for specific mRNA codon recognition, and the 3' end, to which the tRNAs corresponding amino acid is attached (by aminoacyl-tRNA synthetases). tRNAs cope with the degeneracy of the genetic code in two manners: having more than one tRNA (with a specific anti-codon) for a particular amino acid; and 'wobble' base-pairing, i.e. permitting non-standard base-pairing at the 3rd anti-codon position.
Source: Rfam